UAAAAUUUCCCUUAAAUACUUGCGCUUUUUUUUUCUUUUGAGACAGAGUCUUGCUGUGUCACCCAAGCUGGCGUGCAGUGACAUGAUCACUGCAGCCUUGAAAUCCUGGACUCAGGCUAUCUUCCCACCCCUGCCUUGCAAAGUGCUGAGAUUAUAGGUGUGAGCCACUGGGCCUGGCCCUGUGUGUGUGUGUGUUAUACUUUUUUUUUGAAAAAGCAAGUUGUCAUUAAAAACAAAAUAAAGGAAAAAGCUCACAGUCAUUGACAUUCAAGGCAUAUUUGCUGUUUAUGGAAUUUUUCUUUCCUAGCAGACAUAACUAUCGAGUUUUAGGUUUAGGUGUCUUUUCCUUUGUUUUAUGUGUCUUUACCUUUCAUUGCUUACAGAUAAUAUUGGAGCAAAAGUAAUAUGUAAGCAGAAAGUUAUUUUGCUCUGAGUAGUAUUUGUGUUAACUUAUUCUAGAGUUAAUUUUUUAAAAUUGUGUUUUUUUGUUUUUUUGGUUUUUUUUUUUUCCCCAGAAACAGCAUUUAAAUUUAAAGCCCUAAAGAAGGUUGCACAGUUAGCAGUUAUAAAUAGCCUGGAAAAGGCAUUUUGGAACUGGGUAGAAAAUUAUCCAGAUGAAUUUACAAAACUGUACCAGAUUCCACAGACUGAUAUGGCUGGUAAGAAUGAGAUUGAUUUUUUUUUUUUUUUGGUCUUUUAAAUGCCUACUUGUGACAUAAAAACCUAUCAUUUUCCAAGUUAUUUUUGUUACAAAGGUGCUUUUACAUUUAUUGUCACCUGGCAUCAAAGAAAUAGAAAAUACUGUUUUUCU
RNAcentral lists this long non-coding RNA (811 nucleotides) under Aotus nancymaae (Ma's night monkey). RNAcentral's name for it is "lncRNA (ENSANAG00000039334.1)". Lineage: Eukaryota; Metazoa; Chordata; Mammalia; Primates; Aotidae. The record is from RNAcentral.